UACGUAGGGUGCAAGCGUUGUUCGGAAUUACUGGGCGUAAAGGGCUCGUAGGCGGCCAACUAAGUCGGACGUGAAAUCCCUCAGCUUAACUGGGGAACUGCGUCUGAUACUGGAUGGCUUGGAUUCGGGAGAGGGAUGCGGAAUUCCAGGUGUAGCGGUGAAAUGCGUAGAUAUCUGGAGGAACACCGGUGGCGAAGGCGGCAUCCUGGACCGAUAUUGACGCUGAGGAGCGAAAGCCAGGGGAGCAAACGGG
This 253-nucleotide ribosomal RNA is filed under the name uncultured bacterium. Its description in RNAcentral is "partial 16S ribosomal RNA". It matches the Rfam family "Bacterial small subunit ribosomal RNA", at positions 524 to 776 of the family's 1533-position model. The record is from RNAcentral.